This 547-nucleotide ribosomal RNA is filed under the name uncultured bacterium. Its description in RNAcentral is "bacterial SSU rRNA". It matches the Rfam family "Bacterial small subunit ribosomal RNA", at positions 355 to 896 of the family's 1533-position model. The record is from RNAcentral.
UGGGGAAUAUUGCGCAAUGGGGGGAACCCUGACGCAGCCAUGCCGCGUGAAUGAAGAAGGCCUUAGGGUUGUAAAGUUCUUUCGGUAUUGAGGAAGGUUGAUGUGUUAAUAGCACAUCAAAUUGACGUUAAAUACAGAAGAAGCACCGGCUAACUCCGUGCCAGCAGCCGCGGUAAUACGGAGGGUGCGAGCGUUAAUCGGAAUAACUGGGCGUAAAGGGCACGCAGGCGGUUAUUUAAGUGAGGUGUGAAAGCCCUGGGCUUAACCUAGGAAUUGCAUUUCAGACUGGGUAACUAGAGUACUUUAGGGAGGGGUAGAAUUCCACGUGUAGCGGUGAAAUGCGUAGAGAUGUGGAGGAAUACCAAAGGCGAAGGCAGCCCCUUGGGAAUGUACUGACGCUCAUGUGCGAAAGCGUGGGGAGCAAACAGGAUUAGAUACCCUGGUAGUCCACGCUGUAAACGCUGUCGAUUUGGGGGUUGGGGUUUAACUCUGGCGCCCGUAGCUAACGUGAUAAAUCGACCGCCUGGGGAGUACGGCCGCAAGGUUA